Molecule: ribosomal RNA, 497 nt
Filed under: uncultured bacterium
Lineage: Bacteria
Description: partial 16S ribosomal RNA
Rfam family: Bacterial small subunit ribosomal RNA
Source: RNAcentral
GAUGAACGCUGGCGGCGUGCCUAAUACAUGCAAGUCGAGCGAACGGACGAGAAGCUUGCUUCUCUGAUGUUAGCGGCGGACGGGUGAGUAACACGUGGAUAACCUACCUAUAAGACUGGGAUAACUUCGGGAAACCGGAGCUAAUACCGGAUGAUAUUUUGAACCGCAUGGUUCAAAAGUGAAAGACGGUCUUGCUGUCACUUAUAGAUGGAUCCGCGCUGCAUUAGCUAGUUGGGAAGGUAACGGCUUACCAAGGCAACGAUGCAUAGCCGACCUGAGAGGGUGAUAGGCCACACUGGAACUGAGCCACGGUCCAGACUCCUACGGGAGGCAGCAGUAGGGAAUCUUCCGCAAUGGGCGAAAGCCUGACGGAGCAACGCCGCGUGAGUGAUGAAGGUCUUCGGAUCGUAAAACUCUGUUAUUAGGGAAGAACAUAUGUGUAAGUAACUGUGCACAUCUUGACGGUACCUAAUCAGAAAGCCACGGCUAACUACGUG